AUUGAACGCUGGCGGCAGGCCUAACACAUGCAAGUCGAACGGUAACAGGAAGAAGCUUGCUUCUUUGCUGACGAGUGGCGGACGGGUGAGUAAUGUCUGGGAAACUGCCUGAUGGAGGGGGAUAACUACUGGAAACGGUAGCUAAUACCGCAUAACGUCGCAAGACCAAAGAGGGGGACCUUCGGGCCUUUUGCCAUCGGAUGUGCCCAGAUGGGAUUAGCUAGUAGGUGGGGUAACGGCUCACCUAGGCGACGAUCCCUAGCUGGUCUGAGGGGAUGACCCCCGCCGCUGAAGGUGAGCCGCGGUCCGGCCUCCGACGGGCGGCGCAGGUGGGAAAUGUUGCCAACUGGGGGCAAGCCUGUGGAAGCCAUGCGGCGUGUAUGAAGAAGGCCUUCGGGUUGUAAGGUACUUUCCGGGGGGGGAACGGGGUUAAGGUUAAUACCUGUGCGCAUUGCGGUACCCGCAGAAGAAGCACCGGCUAACUCCGUG
RNAcentral lists this ribosomal RNA (489 nucleotides) under uncultured bacterium. RNAcentral describes it as "partial 16S ribosomal RNA". It matches the Rfam family "Bacterial small subunit ribosomal RNA", at positions 28 to 507 of the family's 1533-position model. The record is from RNAcentral.